GUAAAAUGUACAUACAAUGAACCCUUAAAGUCCAUUGACACUUCUUUCAUAUGCAAAUCUCACAAUUAAAAACCAGUGGGUAUGUAAAGCAGGAUUUGCUAAGAAGAUGUAGCUGAAAAGGUGCUGUUCUGACCCUUUGUUCAUUACAACCGCAAGCUGUAGUAUUAUGUUGUUGCUAACGUGUCCUCCCUGUUUCUAUUACCGGUAGAUGUGAUGGUUUAGUUUAUUGGCAAUGUGGCUAACGUUAUUUCAUGUCCCUGACUGUGUUUCAUUCAAAUAAAUAACACGUGUUUGUUUACAGCCCAACCAAUGUUACAUACCCUAUUCGGAGACCGUAAGGAACCGUGUGAAAUACCCCCAAAAAGUCAAUGACCCCUUUUAAAAACAGAAGUGAAGUUAAUGUUUUCUGACUUCUUAGGUUCCUAGUUCUGGAAACAGAACUCAAGAAAAAUAUAUGCUGUGCCUGAAAGUGACUUUGUGGAGUUUCAGAAUGGGAGAAGAGCUAAAACAAGUCGAAGGGAUGGAGAUUCAAGCCUGCAGGAGGUCCUUGGACGUGUUGACCAGCUGAAGCAAGCCGCCGGGAGUCUCCAAGAGGUCACUAAUUCAAUCAACCAGCUGUCUCAGCUGGCCAAGUCUCAAAAGGAGGAGAUCAUGGCAAAUGUCGGUUUGCAGCCCUUAAAGGAAGCCUUUGCAUGUCUUGUGUGUAAAGCUGUAAUGGCAGAUCCCAUGUUCGCCACAUGCUGUGAAUCGAUAAUUGGAUGUCGUACCUGUGUGGAGCUGUGGUUAGUCACAUCAGACCACUGCUUGAAAUGCAGGGCAGGAGACUUUGAAAAUAAAAUAC
Molecule: long non-coding RNA, 841 nt
Filed under: Gadus morhua (Atlantic cod)
Lineage: Eukaryota; Metazoa; Chordata; Actinopteri; Gadiformes; Gadidae
Description: lncRNA (ENSGMOG00000027192.1)
Source: RNAcentral